GCGGGUAUAGCUUAGUGGUAAAGCUCCAGCCUUCCAAGCUGGCUAUUCGGGUUCGAUUCCCGAUACCCGCUCCA
Molecule: transfer RNA, 74 nt
Filed under: Novosphingobium umbonatum
Lineage: Bacteria; Pseudomonadati; Pseudomonadota; Alphaproteobacteria; Sphingomonadales; Sphingomonadaceae
Description: Novosphingobium sp. FSY-9 tRNA-Gly
Rfam family: tRNA
About the family: Transfer RNA (tRNA) molecules are approximately 80 nucleotides in length.
Source: RNAcentral